RNAcentral lists this ribosomal RNA (993 nucleotides) under Flammeovirga pacifica. RNAcentral's name for it is "Bacterial large subunit ribosomal RNA". It matches the Rfam family "Bacterial large subunit ribosomal RNA", at positions 1553 to 2556 of the family's 2925-position model. The record is from Rfam by way of RNAcentral. Lineage: Bacteria; Pseudomonadati; Bacteroidota; Cytophagia; Cytophagales; Flammeovirgaceae.
UGGGGAAACAAGACAGUACAGAGCGGCUACGGCCAAUUUGAUAAAGAUAUGAAACGCUUCCAAGAAAACCUUCUACGAUUAUGUUAUAGGAUCCCGUACCCCAAACCGACACAGGUGGUCAGGGUGAGUAACCCAAGGCGCUCGAGUGAUUCAUGGCUAAGGAACUAGGCAAAUUAGCCCCGUAACUUCGGGAGAAGGGGCGCCUACUUGUUUUGGCAAGAGGCCGCAGCGAAGAAGUCCAGGCGACUGUUUAACAAAAACACAUGGCUAUGCGAACUCGAAAGAUUCAGUAUAUAGCCUGACACCUGCCCGGUGCUGGAAGGUUAAGAGGGGGAGUUAACUUCGGUGAAGCUCUGAAUUGAAGCCCCAGUAAACGGCGGCCGUAACUAUAACGGUCCUAAGGUAGCGAAAUUCCUUGUCGGGUAAGUUCCGACCUGCACGAAUGGUGCAACGAUCUGGACGCUGUCUCGGCCAUGAGCUCGGUGAAAUUGAAGUAGCGGUGAAGAUGCCGCUUACCCGCAACGGGACGAAAAGACCCCAUGAACCUUUACUGCAACUUAACGUUGGCCGUUGGCCAGGAGUGUGUAGGAUAGGCGGGAGACUGUGAAGGAGCGUCGCUAGGCGUUUUGGAGUCAUUGUUGAAAUACCGCCCUCUCCUGUUCGACGGUCUAACGAGUGUAAACUCGGACAUUGUUUGGUGGGUAGUUUGACUGGGGUGGUCGCCUCCAAAAGAGUAACGGAGGCUUUCCAAGGUUCCCUCACGACGGUCGGCAAUCGUCGGAAGAGCGCAAUGGCAUAAGGGAGCCUGACUGCGAGAGAGACAUCUCGACCAGGCACGAAAGUGGGACAUAGUGAUCCGGUGGUACCGCAUGGAAGGGCCAUCGCUCAAAGGAUAAAAGGUACUCUGGGGAUAACAGGCUGAUCUCCCCCAAGAGCUCAUAUCGACGGGGAGGUUUGGCACCUCGAUGUCGGCUCGUCACGUCCUGGGGCUGG